AGGGUUUGAUCAUGGCUCAGAACGUACGCUGGCGGCACGCCUUAUACAUGCAAGUCGAACGCAGUAGCAAUACUGAGUGGCAAACGGGUGAGUAUAAUGUGGGUAUCUGCCUUUUGGUUUGGAAUAACAUGAGGAAACUUGUGCUAAUACCGAAUAAGCCUUCACAGGGAAAGUUUUAACGCCGAAAGAUGAGCCCGCACUUGAUUAGUUUGUUGGUGAGGUAAUGGCUCACCAAGACAAUUAUCAAUAGCUGGUCUGAGAGGACGAUCAGCCACAUUGGGACUGAGACACGGCCCAGACUCCUACGGGAGGCAGCAGUAAGGAAUCUUGCACAAUGGGGGAAACCCUGAUGCAGCGAUGCCGCGUGAGUGAAGAAGGCCCUUGGGUUGUAAAACUCUUUCGUCGGGGAAGAAAAUGACUGUACCCGAAUAAGAAGGUCCGGCUAACUUCGUGCCAGCCGCCGCGGUAAUUC
This 472-nucleotide ribosomal RNA is filed under the name uncultured bacterium. RNAcentral's name for it is "bacterial SSU rRNA". It matches the Rfam family "Bacterial small subunit ribosomal RNA", at positions 8 to 526 of the family's 1533-position model. The record is from RNAcentral.